This is a long non-coding RNA of Lethenteron reissneri (Far Eastern brook lamprey), 406 nucleotides long. RefSeq lists it as uncharacterized. Lineage: Eukaryota; Metazoa; Chordata; Hyperoartia; Petromyzontiformes; Petromyzontidae. The record is from RefSeq and is a predicted model, not a curated record.
UACCAGCUCGCCUAUCCAACUGCUCGUCUGUUCACCUGCUUACCAGCGCAGCUGCUCGGCAGCUUACCUCCCACCUGCUCACCAGCCCAGCUACUCGCCUGUUCACCCGUUUCAAGGCUUCCCCGCAGGGUCGCGUUCUGUUGGAAUUGACCGCGUGGCCUGGCGGCGCGAGGGAGACAAAGCAAGGAACGGAACCAUCGAAGCCCGCAACGUGUGGUGCAUCAGCCAGCCAUCUCGGUCAUCUCAGUCAGUCGACCCGUGGCACCUGGAUCUGCCCCGUGACCUCCUGCCAGCGGGCGUUCGACACUUCACUUGACCUCAAGGUGCACAUGGCCUGGCACAAGCAUCGUGGUGACGUCACCGCCACUUAGUGACGAAUGGCGGUUGUUGUUGUUAUACUAAUUUG